GUGUACAUAUGUAUCCAUGCCUUGGAACCUGGUAUAUAUAGCAGUGAUUGCAUUUUAGUUCUCCUGUAUGCAGUGCAAAAAGAAGUGUAUGCAUUGGAUAAUCCAAGACAGAAUAUUCUCUGCGAUUCUCUUCAGCUUGUUCUGUGUUGGUCAGUCUUUCUGUUGACAGUUUUGUAUUUAGGUCACACAGGAGCCCUCGGGCAGCAGUAAAGCAUGUCCUCUACAGGAGUGAUUGACACCUUCUCUGAUGGUGAAUGAAGUCUCCAGCUUCUCUGGGCUCCAGCCACAGUAAUAAACCAGCGCUGCACACUGACGGAUGCAAUCAUCUUUUAUUUCCCAUUAAUGAAACAACACCUCAUUUUAUGGCCUACUGAACCGAGCAGCAUGGAUUGUGAAUUAAAUUGAGAGGUCUUCAGCCGCAGCGAUGUUAACGUCCCGUGGCUGUUCUCCAGUGAUGAGUCCAGAUGGAGGAUAUGUUGGUACCUGCCCUUCUAUUUCCAUUGCCAGCUCUCUCCCUCCAGCCCCCGGUACACCUCCACGCCAUCUGUGCCAACCUGCCGUCUCUCCGUCAGACAGUUGCAGGUUCCGCCGUGCGUGGCAGGCCUACAGCUGUGCAGACAGCCAGCCCAACAUCUGUGUGUCCUGUGGGACAGACGGGGGGGAAUGUCCCGCUGAUCUACUCAGCUGCUGCCGGCCUUAAACACAGCCACGGGCCGGCAGUUCUGUGGACGGGAGGAGUUUUGCAAUUGCCCUGUUUUAUUGCAUUGCGCCUGUAAAGUCCUGCUGGGCGUGGAUCGCUGUGUGUGGAGAGCCAAUCGCAGGCCGGCAGGCAGGUGGCGGUCAGUGGCCGAUGAGGCAGGGUGGGGUUACUGUGUCAUAAUCACAAUAAAGGAAAGGGUCAGCACUUCUUUAUUCACACACAGAAAACACACCCAAAAUCAUCCUACAAAUUACAAACUGGCAAAACGACAGACAUUUCUCACGUUUUCCUUUGAAAAGAGAUCAAAAGAGAUGCAUUAUACAGAUCAAAGUGGUUUUAUUCAGUGGACGUGCCGCUAGAGAGAAUGACAUCUGAAUGAAGACGCUGCAGCCCUGGGCCUUUCGACU
Molecule: long non-coding RNA, 1107 nt
Organism: Labeo rohita (rohu)
Lineage: Eukaryota; Metazoa; Chordata; Actinopteri; Cypriniformes; Cyprinidae
Exons: 4
Source: RefSeq, a predicted model, not a curated record